GCCUUCGGGCUUCGACCGGCGUACGGGUGCGUAACGCGUAUACAAUCUGCCUUCACAUAGGGAUAGCCCGAAGAAAUUUGGAUUAAUACCUAAUGGUAUAUAGGAGUGGCAUCACAUUUAUAUUAAAGCUGAGGCGGUGAAAGAUGAGUAUGCGUUCUAUAUAGCUAGGUUGGAGAGGUAACGGCUCCCCAAGGCUACGAUAGAUAGGGGUUCUGAGAGGGAUAUCCCCCACACUGGUACUGAGAUACGGACCAGACUCUUACGGGAGGCAGCAGUGAGGAAUAUUGGACAAUGGUCGGAAGACUGAUCCAGCCAUGCCGCGUGCAGGAAGACGGCCUUAUGGGUUGUAAACUGCUUUUGCAGGGGAAGAAUAAGGACUACGAGUAGUUUGAUGACGGUACUCUGCGAAUAAGCAUCGGCUAACUCCGUGCCAGCAGCCGCGGUAAUACGGAGGAUGCGAGCGUUAUCCGGAAUCAUUGGGUUUAAAGGGUCCGUAGGCGGGCUAAUAAGUCAGAGGUGAAAGCGCUCAGCUCAACUGAGCAGCUGCCUUUGAAACUGUUAGUCUUGAAUGGUUGUGAAGUAGUUGGAAUGUGUAGUGUAGCGGUGAAAUGCUUAGAUAUUACACAGAACACCGAUAGCGAAGGCAUAUUACUAACAAUUAAUUGACGCUGAUGGACGAAAGCGUGGGGAGCGAACAGGAUUAGAUANCCCCUGGUAGUCCGCGCUGUAAACGAUGGAUACUAGCUGUUUGGUUGCAAGACUGAGUG
RNAcentral lists this ribosomal RNA (767 nucleotides) under uncultured Cytophaga sp. RNAcentral describes it as "bacterial SSU rRNA". It matches the Rfam family "Bacterial small subunit ribosomal RNA", at positions 76 to 845 of the family's 1533-position model. Lineage: Bacteria; Pseudomonadati; Bacteroidota; Cytophagia; Cytophagales; Cytophagaceae. The record is from RNAcentral.